Molecule: long non-coding RNA, 511 nt
Filed under: Cyanistes caeruleus (blue tit)
Lineage: Eukaryota; Metazoa; Chordata; Aves; Passeriformes; Paridae
Description: lncRNA (ENSCCEG00000008469.1)
Source: RNAcentral
AAGAGGUGCACCACUCAAUGCAGUGUUUUGGAAAGAACCAAUAUGUUUGGAAUACUGGAAUUAUAAUAGAAAAAGUACUUUGAGUGCACUGAACAAAGGAAGUCCUUUUCCAACAUCUUGGUGUUGAUCCUUCUGCCUUUGCUGUAGUAAAUAACAUUUAUGCAGCCUUUUUGCUUAUUACCUUGUUAUUAGGAAAAAUACUUAAUGUACAGAUGAAUUUUACCACAAACAUAACUGACAUUCAAACCUGAUAUAAAGAUGAAUCAGACAAAUAACAGCAUUUACUUACAAAGUAUGGAUUUUUUUUUUUUUUUUUUAAUUUUAGUUCUCAUAGAAAGUACAAAUUCAGGUGCAUUGUACUGCAGCCAGUUUGGUGUGGAGGAAGCUGCACUGAAAGCACGGACACUAAAGCAGAGUGCAGUUCUGGUGUAGAAACUGAGGACAGAAAAGUAAGUGGCUUGUUUUAAUGUGAUUUUUCAUGCAACUCUAGCAGCUGGGGUUUUCUCUGGUU